GGGGGUGUAGCUCAGUUAGGGAGAGCGCCUGCUUUGCACGCAGGAGGUCAUCGGUUCGAACCCGUUCACCUCCACCA
RNAcentral lists this transfer RNA (77 nucleotides) under Syntrophobacterales bacterium. RNAcentral's name for it is "tRNA-Ala". It matches the Rfam family "tRNA". From Rfam's summary of the family: Transfer RNA (tRNA) molecules are approximately 80 nucleotides in length. Their secondary structure includes four short double-helical elements and three loops (D, anti-codon, and T loops). Further hydrogen bonds mediate the characteristic L-shaped molecular structure. tRNAs have two regions of fundamental functional importance: the anti-codon, which is responsible for specific mRNA codon recognition, and the 3' end, to which the tRNAs corresponding amino acid is attached (by aminoacyl-tRNA synthetases). tRNAs cope with the degeneracy of the genetic code in two manners: having more than one tRNA (with a specific anti-codon) for a particular amino acid; and 'wobble' base-pairing, i.e. permitting non-standard base-pairing at the 3rd anti-codon position. Lineage: Bacteria; Pseudomonadati; Thermodesulfobacteriota; Syntrophobacteria; Syntrophobacterales. The record is from RNAcentral.